CGGCAACAGCUCAAAUUUGAAAUCUGGCCCCCGGCCCGAGUUGUAAUUUGCAGAGGAUGCUUUUGGCGAGGUGCCUUCCAAGUCCCCUGGAACGGGGCGCCACAGAGGGUGAGAGCCCCGUCAGGUUGCGCAACCGAGCCUCUGUAAAGCUCCUUCGAC
Molecule: ribosomal RNA, 159 nt
Filed under: Scopinella sp.
Lineage: Eukaryota; Fungi; Ascomycota; Sordariomycetes; Coronophorales; Ceratostomataceae
Description: partial large subunit ribosomal RNA
Rfam family: Eukaryotic large subunit ribosomal RNA
Source: RNAcentral